AGGCAUUAUGGACAGGAGAUGGUGAAGAUGUUGCUCAAUCAUCAAAAAUUUAAAAUGCUUUUGGAACGAUCUCUUUCCACCUGUGACCUGGAGGAUAUUCUGACAAGAAUGAAGAAGAAAGGGAUGGAAAACCAGAAGGCUGAACGCCCAUCUGUCAAGGAGCUGGUGAAGAAGAGGAACGAUGGCUCCAAGAAGCCCCAGGCCACAUUGUCUUCUAGCAAAUGAGUGAAAUCUACCUCUGAUGGAUGCCUCCUACACCGUGCACAAGCCCAGGUCACGUUACCUCCGGUUGAGGAAGAAACGGAGCUGCUCCAGAAGCUUUACAAUCUCCUGGAGGCCAAGGGGUUUCAGACGCGCAUGGAAGGAGUGUCACUCCUCCAAGACUUGUGCAAAACUAGCCCCCAGCUCAUCUCCACUAACAUUGUCCAAAUUUUUGAAUAUUUUGUCCUGAGAAUAUCUGACAGCCACAAGAAAGUGAAGCAGAAGGCGCUGGAUGUGCUGGUAGAAAUCACAGGCGUCCUGAAAGAUGCCUUGAACCCGGUGAUCAUUGGUUUGGUGGAAGGAAUAACGAAGAACCUGAACUCCAAGGAUCCCAGGGUUCGUGCCGCAGCUGUGAAAGCGCUGGAAGAAUCCAUUGCUCAUUUAGGUAAGGCUGAGCCCUGGCAUGGACUCUCCUCACCUGUGUCUCUGUCUCUCCGACACAAGAGAGUGCUGAGUGCCUUGAUAGCUGCUGUUGUCUGUGGAAAGCUCCAGCUGGCAUC
Passer domesticus (house sparrow) is the source of this 761-nucleotide long non-coding RNA. RefSeq lists it as uncharacterized. Lineage: Eukaryota; Metazoa; Chordata; Aves; Passeriformes; Passeridae. The transcript is spliced from 4 exons. The record is from RefSeq and is a predicted model, not a curated record.